GAGGAAUUAAACAACUGUCCAAUUAUUGCCCGGAUCCGGGGGAACCUGAGAACGGCAAACGCCGAGGCUCUGACUUCAGCAUUGGAGCGACGGCUCAGUUUACCUGUGAUGAGGACCAUGUGCUGCAGGGCUCCAAAACCAUCACCUGUCAGAGGGUGGCUGAGGUGUUCGCUGCCUGGAGCGACCACAGACCUGUCUGUAAAGUGAAAACGUGUGGAUCGACACUCCAGGGUCCAUCGGGGACGUUCACCUCUCCCAAUUUCCCCAUCCAGUAUGAGAGUAAUUCCCACUGUGUGUGGAUUAUCACUGCUAGUAACCCCAAUAAGGU
Oncorhynchus gorbuscha (pink salmon) is the source of this 328-nucleotide long non-coding RNA. RefSeq lists it as uncharacterized. Lineage: Eukaryota; Metazoa; Chordata; Actinopteri; Salmoniformes; Salmonidae. The transcript has 3 exons. The record is from RefSeq and is a predicted model, not a curated record.